Molecule: ribosomal RNA, 500 nt
Filed under: uncultured bacterium
Lineage: Bacteria
Description: partial 16S ribosomal RNA
Rfam family: Bacterial small subunit ribosomal RNA
Source: RNAcentral
AUUGAACGCUGGCGGCAUGCCUUACACAUGCAAGUCGAACGGCAGCGCGGACUUCGGUCUGGCGGCGAGUGGCGAACGGGUGAGUAAUACAUCGGAACGUACCCUGUUGUGGGGGAUAACUAGGCGAAAGAUUAGCUAAUACCGCAUACGACCUGAGGGUGAACGUGGGGGACCGCAAGGCCUCACGCAGCAGGAGCGGCCGAUGUCUGAUUAGCUAGUUGGUGGGGUAAAGGCCCACCAAGGCGACGAUCAGUAGCUGGUCUGAGAGGACGACCAGCCACACUGGGACUGAGACACGGCCCAGACUCCUACGGGAGGCAGCAGUGGGGAAUUUUGGACAAUGGGGGCAACCCUGAUCCAGCAAUGCCGCGUGUGUGAAGAAGGCCUUCGGGUUGUAAAGCACUUUUGUCCGGAAAGAAAUCGCGCUGGUUAAUACCUGGCGUGGAUGACGGUACCGGAAGAAUAAGCACCGGCUAACUACGUGCCAGCCGCCGCUGUAA